AUUGAACGCUGGCGGCAGGCCUAACACAUGCAAGUCGAGCGCGAAAGGCCUUCGGGCUGAGUAGAGCGGCGGACGGGUGAGUAACGCGUAGGAAUCUACCUGGUAGUGGGGGACAACAUGGUGAAAACCAUGCUAAUACCGCAUACGCCCUAUGGGGGAAAGCGGGGGACCUUCGGGCCUCGCGCUAUCAGAUGAGCCUGCGUAGGAUUAGCUUGUUGGUGAGGUAAAGGCUCACCAAGGCGACGAUCCUUAGCUGGUCUGAGAGGAUGAUCAGCCACACUGGAACUGAGACACGGUCCAGACUCCUACGGGAGGCAGCAGCGGGGAAUAUUGCGCAAUGGGCGAAAGCCUGACGCAGCCAUGCCGCGUGUGUGAAGAAGGCCUUCGGGUUGUAAAGCACUUUCAAUUGGGAAGAAAGGUUGCGUGUUAAUAGCACGUAGCUGUGACGUUACCUUUAGAAGAAGCACCGGCUAACUCCGUGCCAGCAGCCGCGGUAAUACGGAGGGUGCGAGCGUUAAUCGGAAUUACUGGGCGUAAAGCGCGCGUAGGCGGUUUGUU
RNAcentral lists this ribosomal RNA (558 nucleotides) under uncultured bacterium. RNAcentral describes it as "bacterial SSU rRNA". It matches the Rfam family "Bacterial small subunit ribosomal RNA", at positions 28 to 584 of the family's 1533-position model. The record is from RNAcentral.